This 795-nucleotide ribosomal RNA is filed under the name uncultured organism. RNAcentral describes it as "bacterial SSU rRNA". It matches the Rfam family "Bacterial small subunit ribosomal RNA", at positions 393 to 1190 of the family's 1533-position model. The record is from RNAcentral.
CAUGCCGCGUGCAGGCAUGACUGCCCUAUGGGUUGUAAACUGCUUUUGUACGAGAAGAAACCCCCGAUCGUGAUCGGGGCUGACGGUACCAUACGAAUAAGCAUGGGAUAACUCCGUGUCCAGCAGCCGCGGUAAUACGGAGGAUGCAAGCGUUAUCCGGAUUCAUUGGGCUUAAAGGGUGCGCUUGCGGAAUAUUAAGUCAGUGGUGAAAUCCUGCAGCUUAACUGUAGAACUGCCAUUGAUACUGAUAUUCUUGAAUAUAGUUGAGGUGGGCGGAAUGUGUACUGUAGCGGUGAAAUGCUUAGAUAUUACACAGAAGACCAAUUGCGAAGGCAGGUCACUAAACUACUAUUGACGCUGAGGCACGAAAGCGUGGGUAGCAAACAGGAUUAGAUACCCUGGUAGUCCACGCUGUAAACUAUGAUCACUCGCUGUUGGCAAUACAUCGUCAGCGGUUGAGCGAAAGCCUUAAGUGAUCCACCUGGGGAGUACGGUCGCAAGAUUGAAACUCAAAGGAAUUGACGGGGGUCCGCACAAGCGGAGGAACAUGUGGUUUAAUUCGAUGAUACCCGAGGAACCUUACAUGGGUUUCAAUGCAGAGCGACGUCCGCCGAAAGGUGGAUUCCUUCGGGCGAUCUGCUAGGUGCUGCAUGGUCGUCGUCAGCUCGUGCCGUGAGGUGUCGGAUUAAGUCCCAUAACGAGCGCAACCCUUAUCGUUAGUUGCCACCGGGUAAUGCCGGGGACUCUAACGAAACUGCCGGUGUAACCGUGAGGAAGGUGGGGAUGACGUCAAAU